RNAcentral lists this ribosomal RNA (470 nucleotides) under Cantharis sp. UPOL 001317. RNAcentral describes it as "partial 16S ribosomal RNA". The record is from RNAcentral. Lineage: Eukaryota; Metazoa; Arthropoda; Insecta; Coleoptera; Cantharidae.
CAUGUCUUUUUGAUAAAAAUAUAAAGUCUAGUCUGCUCAAUGAAUAAAAAUUUAAAUAGCUGCAGUAUUUUGACUGUACAAAGGUAGCAUAAUAAUUAGUUUUUUGAUUGAAAGCUGGAAUGAAGGAUUGGACGAGAAAAUUACUGUCUCAAUAUAAACAAUUGAAUUUAACUUUUUAGUUAAAAGGCUAAAAUUUUUUUAAAAGACGAGAAGACCCUAUAGAGUUUUAUAAUUAAUAUUUUUUAAUAUAAUUAGAAUUAUUAAUUUUUAAAUUUGUAUUAAUUAUUUAGUUGGGGUGAUUAAAAAAUUUAUAAAACUUUUUUAUUUUAUUAAUUAUUUAUUUAUAAAUUUAUUUUCUAUGGAUUUUUAAAAUUAAAAUAAAUUACCUUAGGGAUAACAGCGUAAUAUAUUUUUAAAGUUCUUAUUUAAAAAUUUGAUUGCGACCUCGAUGUUGGAUUAAAAUUUAUUAU